GCCAAGAAGAAAAGCAGAUAAACAGACAGGAACACAUGUUCCUGGUCCAUUGCACAAUAUCUGAAAGAGAUGAAACAUAUUACAAAACCCCAGAAAUCCAGCCUGGGAAUGUGAUGACUGCAAUGCUGUGUUUUCUGACCAGAAUCAACAGACUGUAAUACUGUUUCUAAAAAUGUUCUGAUUUUAUUGUUGAUCUUAAUUGAACUAUUUAUUAAUGCAAGACUUGACUGAUGUUUUCAGAGUCCCUUACAGGUAAUGUGUUGUAUGCAGUUUUAAUCUUGAAAUUUUAGGGUAUAAAUAUGCACAGAUACUCGAAUUUGAAACUUGCAACAAUGUACUUACUUUGUAUUUUUUGGUAUAAUAUAGCUUAGAAGCUGAACACAUCUUUACAUCCUAGAAUUUUGAAAUCAGAGAAGAAUACCGUGGUUUCAAACCUCCUCCUGAACCUGAUUUCAAGCACAUCCACACUGGGUGUGCUUAUAUCCUACUCUACAAUCUACUGAGAAUGAAGAUCUGAUUUUUAUACAUUUGGCUGGGUGAAUAAGGACAUAAACCAACCACACAUGCUGCCUUUUUGCAUUUCAAAGAAACUUUUCCAUAUCUGUAAAAUAAACAAUACAUUUUGCC
Taeniopygia guttata (zebra finch) is the source of this 627-nucleotide long non-coding RNA. RefSeq lists it as uncharacterized. Lineage: Eukaryota; Metazoa; Chordata; Aves; Passeriformes; Estrildidae. The record is from RefSeq and is a predicted model, not a curated record.